UGGGGAAUAUUGCGCAAUGGGGGAAACCCUGACGCAGCGACGCCGCGUGAGCGAAGAAAGCCUUAGGGUUGUAAAGCUCUGUUCUAUGGGACGAAGUCCCUGACUGUAAACAAUGGUCAGGGGUGACGGUACCAUAGGAGGAAGCCCCGGCUAACUACGUGCCAGCAGCCGCGGUAAGACGUAGGGGGCGAGCGUUGUCCGGAAUUACUGGGCGUAAAGAGCACGUAGGCGGGACCUUAAGUCAGGUGUGAAAGACCGGGGCCUAACCCCGGGGUUGCACUUGAAACUGGGGUUCUUGAGGGCAGGAGAGGAAAGCAGAAUUCCUGGUGUAGCGGUGAAAUGCGUAGAAAUCAGGAGGAAUACCAGUGGCGAAGGCGGCUUUCUGGACUGACCCUGACGCUGAGGUGCGAAAGCGUGGGUAGCAAACAGG
This 430-nucleotide ribosomal RNA is filed under the name uncultured bacterium. RNAcentral describes it as "bacterial SSU rRNA". It matches the Rfam family "Bacterial small subunit ribosomal RNA", at positions 355 to 776 of the family's 1533-position model. The record is from RNAcentral.